This is a long non-coding RNA of Dreissena polymorpha, 377 nucleotides long. RefSeq lists it as uncharacterized. The record is from RefSeq and is a predicted model, not a curated record. Lineage: Eukaryota; Metazoa; Mollusca; Bivalvia; Myida; Dreissenidae. The transcript has 3 exons.
AUAAGUUAAUACUGGUGAAUCAAGUAGCCCAGAAAAGUAUUGGUAGGUUCAUAAGUUAAUACUGGUGAAUCAAGUAGCCCAGAAAAGUAUUGGUAGGUUCAUAAGUUAAUACUGGUGAAUCAAGUAGCCCAGAAAAGUAUUGGUAGGUUCAUAAGUUAAUACUGGUGAAUCAAGUAGCCCAGAAAAGUAUUGGUAGGUUCAUAAGUUAAUACUGGUGAAUCAAGUAGCCCAGAAAAGUAUUGGUAGGUUCAUAAGUUAAUACUGGUGAAUCAAGUAGCCCAGAAAAGUAUUGGUAGGUUCAUAAGUUAAUACUGGUGAAUCAAGUAGCCCAGAAAAGUAUUGGUAGGUUCAUAAGUUAAUACUGGUGAAUCAAGUAG